Long non-coding RNA from Corvus hawaiiensis (hawaiian crow), 116 nucleotides. RefSeq lists it as uncharacterized. The record is from RefSeq and is a predicted model, not a curated record. Lineage: Eukaryota; Metazoa; Chordata; Aves; Passeriformes; Corvidae. The transcript is spliced from 3 exons.
CCAGGUUGCUCAGAGCCCCGUCCAACCUGGCCUUGAACACUUCCAGGGAUGGGGCAUCCGCAGCUUCUCUGGGCCACCUAUGCCAGUGCUUCACCAACCUUACAGGGAAGAAUGUC